GGGUGACACUGCCGGGUGCAGGGCACGGCUGUGGGCUCUGCCCUCCACCUCCAUUUUCUCCCGUUGCCACCGAAGUGACCAUUUUCCGCCUUGGUUCCAAGCCGUGAGCGCAGCGCUGCUCUCACCCCCAGCUGGACACAGGGAAGAGGAGGAAUGCAACCAGGCAGCACUUGGUGCCCUAGAAUGAAGACAGCAGAUCCGCUGCAAUUCACAGAGCUGACCUCACAGAAACCAAAUGGUGAUGCUGAGGAUGCACACGCAUGGCAUACAUGCCCAAGGGAAGCUGUUUCCUCAAGGGUUGUUCUGCAGCCAAGGCUCCCAUUCUCCCGGCAGGGAAAGGAGAGAAAAAACCCGGGGAACAAAAGCUGCAGGCGCAGCACUGGAUGGAAGGGUGCCACGUUCCAGGCUGUGACCCAGACACGUCCAUCAGCAGCAGAACCGGGACAUGGCAUGGACAGCCCCUGGUCCCACCUCUCCCAUGAUCACACCCAGAGCCCUUUUCCUGCAGCCCCAGCCCUACACGUGGGCACACUCCUCUC
RNAcentral lists this long non-coding RNA (539 nucleotides) under Gallus gallus (chicken). Its description in RNAcentral is "lncRNA (ENSGALG00010012710.1)". Lineage: Eukaryota; Metazoa; Chordata; Aves; Galliformes; Phasianidae. The record is from RNAcentral.